CCUGACGGACAUACCGCGUGAGGGAGGAAGGUUCUUGGAUUGUAAACCUCUUUUCUAGGGGAAGAAAAAAAUGACGGUACCCUAGGAAUAAGCAUCGGCUAACUCCGUGCCAGCAGCCGCGGUAAUACGGAGGAUGCAAGCGUUAUCCGGAAUUAUUGGGCGUAAAGCGUCCGUAGGUGGUAUUUCAAGUCUGCCGUCAAAGCAUGGAGCUUAACUCCAUAAAGGCGGUGGAAACUGAGAAACUAGAGUACAGUAGGGGUAGCAGGAAUUCCCAGUGUAGCGGUGAAAUGCGUAGAUAUUGGGAAGAACAUCGGUGGCGAAAGCGUGCCACUGGACUGAAACUGACACUGAGGGACGAAAGCUAGGGUAGCGAAAGGGAUUAGAUACCCCUGUAGUCCUAGCCGUAAACGAUGGAUACUAGGCGUAGCGCGUAUCGACCCGUGCUGUGCCGAAGCUAACGCGUUAAGUAUCCCGCCUGGGGAGUACGCACGCAAGUGUGAAACUCAAAG
This 509-nucleotide ribosomal RNA is filed under the name uncultured bacterium. RNAcentral's name for it is "bacterial SSU rRNA". It matches the Rfam family "Bacterial small subunit ribosomal RNA", at positions 382 to 906 of the family's 1533-position model. The record is from RNAcentral.